This 400-nucleotide ribosomal RNA is filed under the name uncultured bacterium. RNAcentral's name for it is "bacterial SSU rRNA". It matches the Rfam family "Bacterial small subunit ribosomal RNA", at positions 355 to 749 of the family's 1533-position model. The record is from RNAcentral.
UAAGGAAUAUUGGUCAAUGGGCGCAAGCCUGAACCAGCCAUGCCGCGUGAAGGAAGACGGCCCUACGGGUUGUAAACUUCUUUUGUACGGGAAAAAANCCUCCGGUCGUGAACCGGAGCUGAUGGUACCGUAAGAAUAAGCAUCGGCUAACUCCGUGCCAGCAGCCGCGGUAAUACGGAGGAUGCAAGCGUUAUCCGGAUUCAUUGGGUUUAAAGGGUGCGCAGGCGGAAUGAUAAGUCAGUGGUGAAAUCCUACAGCUCAACUGUAGAACUGCCAUUGAUACUGUCGUUCUUGAGUACACUUGGAGUGGGCGGAAUGUGUCAUGUAGCGGUGAAAUGCUUAGAUAUGACACAGAACACCGAUCGCGAAGGCAGCUCACUAAAUUGUAACCUGACGCUCA